CCUACGGGAGGCAGCAGUGAGGAAUAUUGGUCAAUGGACGAGAGUCUGAACCAGCCAAGUAGCGUGAAGGAUGACUGCCCUAUGGGUUGUAAACUUCUUUUAUAUGGGAAUAAAAUGUUCCACGUGUGGGAUUUUGUAUGUACCAUAUGAAUAAGGAUCGGCUAACUCCGUGCCAGCAGCCGCGGUAAUACGGAGGAUCCGAGCGUUAUCCGGAUUUAUUGGGUUUAAAGGGAGCGUAGGUGGGUUGUUAAGUCAGUUGUGAAAGUUUGCGGCUCAACCGUAAAAUUGCAGUUGAGACUGGCAGUCGUGAGUACAGUAGAGGUGGGCGGAAUUCGUGGUGUAGCGGUGAAAUGCUUAGAUAUCACGAAGAACUCCGAUUGCGAAGGCAGCUCACUGGACUGCAACUGACAUUGAGGCUCGAAAGUGUGGGUAUCAAACAGGAUUAGAUACCCCUGUAGUC
RNAcentral lists this ribosomal RNA (460 nucleotides) under uncultured bacterium. Its description in RNAcentral is "partial 16S ribosomal RNA". It matches the Rfam family "Bacterial small subunit ribosomal RNA", at positions 338 to 795 of the family's 1533-position model. The record is from RNAcentral.